Molecule: ribosomal RNA, 374 nt
Filed under: uncultured bacterium
Lineage: Bacteria
Description: bacterial SSU rRNA
Rfam family: Bacterial small subunit ribosomal RNA
Source: RNAcentral
ACUUGGGGAUAACCUUGCGAAAGUAAGACUAAUACCCAAUGACGUCUCUAGAAGACAUCUGAAAGAGAUUAAAGAUUUAUCGGUGAUGGAUGGGGAUGCGUCUGAUUAGCUUGUUGGCGGGGUAACGGCCCACCAAGGCGACGAUCAGUAGGGGUUCUGAGAGGAAGGUCCCCCACAUUGGAACUGAGACACGGUCCAAACUCCUACGGGAGGCAGCAGUGAGGAAUAUUGGUCAAUGGACGAGAGUCUGAACCAGCCAAGUAGCGUGAAGGAUGACUGCCCUAUGGGUUGUAAACUUCUUUUAUAUGGGAAUAAAGUAUUCCACGUGUGGGAUUUUGUAUGUACCAUAUGAAUAAGGAUCGGCUAACUCCGUG